GCGCCUAAUCGUGUCAGUACUAUCCGGCCAUCGUUCUGACGCACAAGAUGGAAUGGCCGGUGUUUUUGAACUUUAGAAAGAAUAUCCGAACACACGCAACGUUCGUCGGUGUCAUAUUGAUUCUAUAUGCGAUAUUCUCUAUCCUUACUGGAGUGGCUUGGUGGUUGGAGGUAAAAGUGCAGACCGGAUCGGACAAAAUAGAUUAUGAAGUGAAAGCUGACGCAUCCAGUCCUAAGAGCAAGAGGUCAAUUGAUGCGGGGUGGUCAUUCAAUGCAGUGGGCGAUGGUGGAUCCGACACAACCAGGUUGCGGAGAUCAAUUCGAAAAUUUUUUUCUUCGAAGAGUAAAAAGAAAAGGGUUAAUACAAUGUUCUCGGCAUUCAACCACGAGAUCAACCAGUAUAACAACCAGGAGAUCAAUCAGGACAACACUCAAUACAUCAACCAGAGGAUCAGCCAAGAUACCAUUCAGAAGGUCAUCCAGGAGAUCAACCAGGAGAUCAACCUGGAGAUCAUGUUCAUCAAAGUAGGCUUCCUCAUCAUGAGUAUUGUGAGUUCGUUCAUUACAAUUAUGUACUGGAUCGCGUAUCUCAAGCGUCAACAGUUGUUUCUCGUAAUAUUUAUCGGACUUAUGGCCGUUGCUUUCGCGGCUCUAUCCAUCGGGAUGUUCGUCAUGAUACAGCAGCUGAAAUUCAUCUGGGCGUGCGCAAUGCUAUUCGGAUUCCUCGUGACCGGAUAUGUGCUGACGGUGGCGCUGCAACUGCAUUCCAAUUUUAAAUUUACCCGUCGACGACAAGCAUACGGCACCGAGGUGUGUGUGCUUCCCUUGAAUUAAUGGUAACAAAUUUGCAACGCUAUUCUUAAAUACAUGAAAAAUGAGCCAGCACCACAUGUUCUCGCUAUCGGACUUUGAUGGAAUCAGGGAAGCCACCAGCCACGAGAUCAACCAGGAUAUCAACCAGGAUAUCAACCAGAAAUCCACUCAAUACACCAACCAAUACCAAACCUAUUUUGAAAUUGGCAGUAUGUAUUAGCUGUACCCGUAACAAAAUCAAUUAAAUUCAGCAAUGGUUCUAAGAAAAGCGAUUUUUUUUUGCUUUUUUGAUUGUACAGUUGGCUUUUUCGAAGCUGCUAAGAAUAUUAUAUAUUUUCUUAUAUAUGUAAUAUAUAUAUUUUCUUAUGUAGAAAGGUGAGUUAUUUGCAAAAAAUGCAAACGAUCGACACAUUGUGGUGCAACUUCGUCUAGGUGAUUGUGAUCAGUCCUCUAUUGAUCAUCGUACGAAAACGCAUCGUUUUAGCAACAUAAAACCAACGUACCAAGUGAGAUCGGGUUAGCUUGUUCGGUAGAUGUAUUUGAUAUUCUAAACGCGAUGCUUCCAUUGUGAGAGCACGUUACAAAUCUUUCAUUUCGAAAGGAAACAUAAAACCACACAAGAUUGUUUGCAUAUAAUAUACACGAUUGUGCGAACAAAAUUUAAUCGAUCAACUUAACACGAAUUGACAUUACACGAAGCUCUACCUGGAGAGAACAUCUCUACGGUGUAUGGAUGGAGCUAUGCACAGAAAAGUGGUUGUGUGUAUUGGUGUGAUCGGCUAAGUACACGGAACCAGAGUGUAAAGUGGAGAAUUUAUGGCCCCGAGAAGCGGGACAUAUCGUAGUGGUGCUGGCGACGCUACGAACCUGCUCCUAGGUUCUGCAUUCAGAAUCUGUUGAGAAACAUUAGAUUGUUAAAUGUAAUUACUUAAAUGCGAAUUUGUAGAGGGUUUAUGCGUAAGCGUAAACAUUGUUUCAUUUAGUCCCGCAGAACACAAAGUUGUGAACGUCGGGAUGAAAAAACAUACUGACCUAAAGACCAUUCAGCAGCGCACAUAAAUGAGUAGAGGAUCUAAAAUCAUUAACAUCAAGUAUACUCCAGCGUUUCGGUUAGCUUAUGCACAACCCGUUCCUAAGUUAUCCCCAUUUCUUUGUAUCGAGGUGAUUCAACACUCCAGCCUCUAGCUGGGUUUUGCCAAAUUUUGAUAAGCACAGCAGCAGUGCUUCAUAUAAUUUCAGAUAGAAUGCCUUUUAGUAGAACAAUAUGCAUCAUUUAGGAUGUAAAUUGCUGUGUAAUUUGCACAUUAGACAAAUCUUGCAUAUUUUUAGUUCUGUACGAUGUACAGUCAGUUCUCGAAUUAGCUACAUUCCAUCGUUUCGAUGUGAUUCAUUCCAGCGACUAGCUGGUUGUCGCCAAGAUUAGGAUAACACAGCGGCAUUGGUCAGGAAAUAGCCCCACUAAAUCAGCAAUCGGCAGCUGCAUCUGCAGCUGCGAUGCAGCAGUUGUGCAGCACCCGAAUUACGAAUGGCCACCAACAGUUCACAGCUAGCACCCGAUCGUGUCGGUAGUAUCCAGUCACCACUCUUCGCAUUAUAAUCUUAGCAGUCACAAAAGAUGGGUUUGCCGACGUUUUUAAACUUUAACAAAAACAUCCAGAAACACGCCAUGGCCGUGGGUAUAAUAUUGACGCUUUACACGAUCUUCACUCUGCUUAUCGGAGUGGCGUGGUUAAUUGAGAUCAAAGAGCAGGCCACCCUGUACAAGUUAGAUUUUCGGGUGGACUUAACCGGCAUCCGAACAAUCAACCCGAGGACGGCCGGCUUUUGGGAGAAGGAAGGCUUCCUCGUCAUGGGCAUUGGGUUCGCGAUCCUUGCAGUACUGUACUGGAUCACCUACCUCAUGCGUCAACGGUUGCUCCUCGCAGUGUUUAUCGGACUUAUGGUCAUAAUUGUCACGCUUAACAUCAUCGGGAUGGUUGCCGCGGGGCUGAAGCUGAAAUUCGUGUUAGCGUGCGUAGUGAUGUUCGGCCUCCCCGUCAACGUGUACAUGCUGGUGGUGGCGCUGCAACUGCAUAAAUCAAAAUUCAUAUUUACCACGCGACAACAAGGAUAAAGGAGUCUAAGAGUGUGCGUGUUUGUUUCCCCGUGAGGCGAUCGUUGUAGUACAGCAUGUCCAACCAUAACCAUAAGCCAGCGUUGCCAAACUUGUGUUAUCCACAAUAAUUUUUGUGACUUAUCAACGCACUCAUUUGCCGUUUUCGUAUAAUAUAAUCUUGUUUCUUGUUUAUUUAUUAAACGGCCAAAGUUCCGAAACUGACAUAGACCGAACUAAUGGGAGAUUGUCAUUUAUCCAUUGCCAUUGAUUAGAAUAAAAAUAAAAAUUAAUGAUUGUUGGAUGAGCGAUGACAGUUUGCAAAUAA
Anopheles arabiensis is the source of this 3232-nucleotide RNA transcript. RefSeq lists it as uncharacterized. The record is from RefSeq and is a predicted model, not a curated record. Lineage: Eukaryota; Metazoa; Arthropoda; Insecta; Diptera; Culicidae. The transcript has 5 exons.